AGCUGUAAAGGUGACCUGGUUGCAACAUCUCUCACCCUGUUAACCACCAAGGUUAAUUUGGCUGAUCUGGCUGGCUAAGUGGGCAUUCCCUUCCGCCCUCACCACUCCAUGUGCAUCCCUCUCAAAGUUGUGUGUUUUGGUCAAAGAGGACAACUUUCUUUGAUAGAGGAGAAUCAUCCCUCAGUUGGGGAUAUACAAGUAGUUGUGCAUCCCAGAUAGAACCUCCAAACAACCUCUUGAGGUCUUACUAUAUUCUUUGAAUAAUACUUUUAUUGCAUAGAAUAGAAUUCUAGGGUGGCACAGGUAAGGGUGUGUGUGUGCAUGCACAUACACAUGCGUGCAUAUGUGUGUAUGU
RNAcentral lists this small nuclear RNA (355 nucleotides) under Carlito syrichta (Philippine tarsier). RNAcentral describes it as "7SK RNA (ENSTSYG00000021110.2)". It matches the Rfam family "7SK RNA". From Rfam's summary of the family: 7SK was discovered as an abundant small nuclear RNA in the mid-70s but a possible function has only recently been suggested. The record is from Rfam by way of RNAcentral. Lineage: Eukaryota; Metazoa; Chordata; Mammalia; Primates; Tarsiidae.